UAAAUACCGAACAUUAAGAGUGCCCGGAGUUUGUACGUCCGGGAUAAUAGGGAAACCGGUGAAAGUCCGGUGCAGCCCCCGCUACUGUAAGCGUGAUGAAAUUGUCUGAUUACCCACUGGAUUUGUCCGGGAAGGGAGACGAAAGUAAAAUGACCGCAAGCCAGGAGACCUGCUUUUAAUGCCGAUACAUC
This 191-nucleotide non-coding RNA is filed under the name Domibacillus iocasae. Lineage: Bacteria; Bacillati; Bacillota; Bacilli; Caryophanales; Bacillaceae. The record is from RNAcentral.